Sciurus carolinensis (gray squirrel) is the source of this 539-nucleotide long non-coding RNA. RefSeq lists it as uncharacterized. The transcript is spliced from 3 exons. The record is from RefSeq and is a predicted model, not a curated record. NCBI's taxonomy places the organism in Eukaryota, Metazoa, Chordata, Mammalia, Rodentia, Sciuridae.
CCAAUCACUGAUCUUCGCGGAGCUGCACUUGCCCGCCCCGAGCAUUAUUGACCAAUAAAAAGCAGGGGUCGGUCUCCGAAAGCAGUGUACCGCCUCCCGAACUCGCGGACCAAUCGCAAAUAAGGGUUGCCCUUCUGUUCUCCGAAUCGAAGAGUGACGUCACACCCUGUUUCCCCGCCCCUUUCUGUGCCGGCCUAUGGACAACAGUAACCACACCCCCGGAUGCCACUACUGGCCAAUCGCUGUCCGGCAUCUCGCUGUCUGUUGCCCCGCCUCCCGCGUUGAGAUGACCAAUCUCAGGCAGUGACUUUCCACUUUCCCUCCCGCCCUCCUGGCUUGGAUCACUGACACCUAGGACGGCCCCUUCCCAGGUUCUGCCAGCCCAAGUGCAACCACUUCACGUGAUAUGCGGUCCAGUCCUCUCUGAAUGCCGGGCAGCAGCAGCGAGCGGCAGCUGCCAGCCAGUCCCGUGAUCAGGAGGGGAAUCACCGACACUGUUCACUGGAAGACAACCAGAGCGGUCCCACGGUGAUCGCUGU